Molecule: long non-coding RNA, 469 nt
Organism: Talpa occidentalis (Iberian mole)
Lineage: Eukaryota; Metazoa; Chordata; Mammalia; Eulipotyphla; Talpidae
Exons: 4
Source: RefSeq, a predicted model, not a curated record
AUCCGAUCCUGGCUGGGAGACUAGGCCUGACAAUUCCGGGAAAAGAAGAGAAAAUGGAUGCUGGAGAAUACGUGAAAAACUAUCCUUUGUUUAACCAUUUUAAAAAUGGAGCUGGUCAGCCAUAUGGAGAAAUUGCCCACCUGUCUCCUAUAUGCUAGCUGAGCCAUGGUAUCGGCUUAUUGUAAAUCACAGUAAGAAGAACAGAAGUGAAAGGUUUUGAAUAAGUGAAGUUAAUUCUUAUCUCUGCUCCUGGACAAAAAGGGAAUCUGCAGCUUCAAGGGAAAUACCACUUCAAAUUCAGCUUACAGGGCACCAUGUGUGAGUGAUUAUAAUCACUGCAAAAUCCUGGCACGUCUUUCCAUCCAGUUUUUCUAUAGGAUUUAGAGAUCAUUUCAUUGUCUACUCUAAAAAUUUUUACAAAAAGGAUUUUUGUUGUGUUUCUUUACAUCGUGAACAAUAAAGUGAGGCA